GUGGGGAAUUUUGGACAAUGGGCGCAAGCCUGAUCCAGCAAUGCCGCGUGCAGGAAGAAGGCCUUCGGGUUGUAAACUGCUUUUGUACGGAACGAAACGGUCCGGGUUAAUACCCUGGGCUAAUGACGGUACCGUAAGAAUAAGCACCGGCUAACUACGUGCCAGCAGCCGCGGUAAUACGUAGGGUGCAAGCGUUAAUCGGAAUUACUGGGCGUAAAGCGUGCGCAGGCGGUUUUGUAAGACAGGCGUGAAAUCCCCGGGCUCAACCUGGGAAUUGCGCUUGUGACUGCAAGGCUGGAGUGCGGCAGAGGGGGAUGGAAUUCCGCGUGUAGCAGUGAAAUGCGUAGAUAUGCGGAGGAACACCGAUGGCGAAGGCAAUCCCCUGGGCAUGCACUGACGCUCAUGCACGAAAGCGUGGGGAGCAAACAGGAUUAGAAACCCCUGUAGUCC
Molecule: ribosomal RNA, 450 nt
Filed under: uncultured bacterium
Lineage: Bacteria
Description: partial 16S ribosomal RNA
Rfam family: Bacterial small subunit ribosomal RNA
Source: RNAcentral